RNAcentral lists this unclassified non-coding RNA (578 nucleotides) under Hevea brasiliensis (rubber tree). The record is from RNAcentral. Lineage: Eukaryota; Viridiplantae; Streptophyta; Magnoliopsida; Malpighiales; Euphorbiaceae.
UGGGAAUCUGGAAGUUCAUAUACUUGGUGCUCUGUUCUCAGCUGACUCACAUUCUUAAGCUUGGGCGUGGGAAUAGAGGCAGCUUCUGCUGUCAAAGCAACUAAGGCUUUUGACAUGUCUACUUCUUGAAGUUCCAUGUUUUCUUGCAUAUAGUUCUGCAAAUUUUGAGUGAACUCUUCAAUAUUAAGCUUGAUUGUAGGAAUUUCAUCAGGAUCCUCACAGAAAGCAUCCUCCAUAUCAUUUUCUGUUAAUCGUGGACAUUCUGGUUCUGGUGAUGAUGGUUCUUCAACAAUAGGUUCACAAUGUCUGACUCCAUAUCUUGCUUCUAAUUGUUGGUUGGAUUCUGGCUGCUGAUUUCCUACUGAUGAUUCAGUUGCCUGGGGUAGCAGCAGCGGCAGUUGAUUGACCAUCACAUCAGGCUUUUUCCCAUUUGUGCUGUUUUCACCUAUGCUCACUAUAACUUUUUCCUCUGGCCCAGGCAGGGCAAGUCUUGCACUUGCAAAUGCACUUGCGAAAUGUCUGCAUUCUCCUCGCAUUGGACAGGCAUUGCAAUUGGGUUUGCUUUUGGUACAGAAUAC